This 1379-nucleotide long non-coding RNA is filed under the name Anas zonorhyncha (Eastern spot-billed duck). Its description in RNAcentral is "lncRNA (ENSAZOG00000018128.1)". Lineage: Eukaryota; Metazoa; Chordata; Aves; Anseriformes; Anatidae. The record is from RNAcentral.
UCNNNNNNNNNNGUUUUUCUUUUGUAAUUGCCACUUUUUUUUUUUUAAGUAUAUGAACAAAUACAUGAAAAACUUUUUUUUUUUUGACCAUCUGAAGAAACCCCUCCAGGUUUUCGGAUAUGGAUGUCUCCAUCAGCUCUGAAGUCUUUUCCUUUCAUGUCCCAAAUACUAAAAUACAAUACACCAAAUAGGUCGUGUGCAGCUGAAUCAAAAUUUGAUAAGCCUUCAGUGUGUUUUGAAGUUGCACACCUUUGAAAUAGGAAGCCAGGUUUCUUAUUGAUCCCCCCUCUUGCUCCCCUCCAGGCAUUUGAAAGUGGUCUGACACCAAACUGAGUCUGCAAGUGUUAUCCAGAAAUCACUGGAAUUCUAAAGGAGACUCUGGGUGCCUAUUUUGCUCCCAAAUAUCUUCUGUGUUAUGAGCUCAGAACAGAAGCUGCUGAUUGAACUAGGUCUUGCCAUGUUCGCAAGGAUUUGCUCUCUGGAGGGAAAUGUUCAGGUCCUGGAGGUCCCAGUGCCUUUUCUGCAGCGUGGGAAGGAAAGGGAAAGCAGAACUGCUUGUUUCACACAUUCCUGGGCUGCGCUGGCUUCUGCGGUGUCCCAGCACUCUCCCAGCAAUGUGCGAGGUGACGUGGAUGGUGUCUGUCACGUGCUGGUUGUGCUUUCAUCUUCUUCCCAGGGGUGGGUGCUGUGCAGUCUUGCUUCAAAUGUGCAAGAAUCCUGUAUGCCUGUUAAAGACAGGACAGUGAAGGAAGCAUGUUGCCAUCCAUAGACAAAGCUGCUCUCAGGGCUGCGUUACACAUGUUGAAUGGCAUUCACGGGAGGAGGAUGGCUUUGUGGCUGCUUUCACUCUAACAUGAUUUAACUGUGCCUAGAUUCAGUCCGUGGUGCAGAGAAGGAUGCAGCCUGUCAGAAGAGGGGACUGUAUGGCUUUCUCUGUAGUUCAAGAACUGAUUUGAUUAUGUCUAAAGAAAUCAAACUGAAGCGAGCUCUACUUUGCUGUUGAUACAAAACCCUUCCUUUGAUGCCUGCUGUCAGAUGUGUUUUCACAAGCUUUGCACUCAAUCUAUUGGGCCAGCCCUGGCACUGGUGCCUCCUGCUCCACAACCAUUAUGUUAGUGGGAUGGGGAGGUAUUAAAGCAGAUCCCUGCUGGACUGGUGGAUUCUAGCAGGGAGGAUCUCUGUUGCAACUGGAGUGAUCUGGAAAAUAAAUGCUAAAACUUAAUGUCUAAUUAAAAAAAAAAAAGCUGGAUUUUUUUCAGAGCCUUGUGAUACUGGAAUUCAUUUGGAAAGCUCAGCGAUUCGGUAUGAAAGUAAGGGCCUAAACAGUUUCUUUGCUUAAAAAAAAAAAUAAGGAAACGUGUACGGAAGGACGGUCCAAG